This 79-nucleotide transfer RNA is filed under the name Mustela itatsi. RNAcentral's name for it is "tRNA-Ala". Lineage: Eukaryota; Metazoa; Chordata; Mammalia; Carnivora; Mustelidae. The record is from RNAcentral.
AUCCACAUCAUAAGGACUGCAAGAGCAUAUCUCACAUCUAUUGAACGCAAAUCAAUCACUUUAAUUAAGCUAAGCCCUU